GUGUUGUAUCAAAGGAGAGGGUCAGCACUCCCCUUGACAAGGACGGAAGAGGCCCUUGGGUCUCACCACACGCAUAUGGUUAAGGCCACCUAACUUCAUGGCAUGUAACCACUGUGCCUCAUUUUUCU
Cavia porcellus (domestic guinea pig) is the source of this 128-nucleotide small nuclear RNA. Lineage: Eukaryota; Metazoa; Chordata; Mammalia; Rodentia; Caviidae. The record is from Rfam.